CCGAGUUUACAACUCCCAAACCCAAUGUGAACCAUACCAAACUGUUGCCUCGGCGGGGUCACGCCCCGGGUGCGUCGCAGCCCCGGAACCAGGCGCCCGCCGGAGGGACCAACCAAACUCUUUCUGUAGUCCCCUCGCGGACGUUAUUUCUUACAGCUCUGAGCAAAAAUUCAAAAUGAAUC
RNAcentral lists this unclassified non-coding RNA (182 nucleotides) under soil metagenome. Its description in RNAcentral is "partial internal transcribed spacer 1". The record is from RNAcentral.